CAGCAGCCGCGGUAAUACAGAGGGUGCGAGCGUUAAUCGGAUUUACUGGGCGUAAAGCGUGCGUAGGCGGCUUCUUAAGUCGGAUGUGAAAUCCCUGAGCUUAACUUAGGAAUUGCAUUCGAUACUGGGAAGCUAGAGUAUGGGAGAGGAUGGUAGAAUUCCAGGUGUAGCGGUGAAAUGCGUAGAGAUCUGGAGGAAUACCGAUGGCGAAGGCAGCCAUCUGGCCUAAUACUGACGCUGAGGUACGAAAGCAUGGGGAGCAAACAGGAUUAGAUACCCCUGUAGUCCAUGUCUCUUAUAA
Molecule: ribosomal RNA, 301 nt
Filed under: uncultured bacterium
Lineage: Bacteria
Description: partial 16S ribosomal RNA
Rfam family: Bacterial small subunit ribosomal RNA
Source: RNAcentral